This 198-nucleotide unclassified non-coding RNA is filed under the name uncultured Tomentella. RNAcentral's name for it is "sequence contains ITS2". Lineage: Eukaryota; Fungi; Basidiomycota; Agaricomycetes; Thelephorales; Thelephoraceae. The record is from RNAcentral.
UCAUCUCAAUCCAAUGACUUUGCGGUCAUUUGGACUGGAUUUGGGAGUCUGCUGGCCUUACACGAGGUCGGCUCUCCUUGAAUGCAUGAGUGAGCAUCUGGCUCGCGUUGCUAGUGUGAUAAUCUUCAUCAUUGGCGGCGCUUGCCUAAUGGGCUCGCUUUCGAACCGUCUUCUCAUCGGAGACAAAUCUAUUGACAU